AUUGAACGCUGGCGGCAUGCCUUACACAUGCAAGUCGAACGGCAGCACGGGUGCUUGCACCUGGUGGCGAGUGGCGAACGGGUGAGUAAUACAUCGGAACAUGUCCUGUAGUGGGGGAUAGCCCGGCGAAAGCCGGAUUAAUACCGCAUACGAUCUACGGAUGAAAGCGGGGGACCUUCGGGCCUCGCGCUAUAGGGUUGGCCGAUGGCUGAUUAGCUAGUUGGUGGGGUAAAGGCCUACCAAGGCGACGAUCAGUAGCUGGUCUGAGAGGACGACAGCCAAACUGGGACUGAGACACGGCCCAGACCCCUACGGGAGGCAGCAGGGGGGAAUUUUGGAAAAGGGGGGAAAGCCUGAUCCAGCAAUGCCGCGGGUGUGAAGAAGGCCUUCGGGUUGUAAAGCACUUUUGUCCGGAAAGAAAUCCUUGGCCCUAAACCGGGCGGGGGAGGACGGUACCGAAAAAAAAAGCCCCGGCUAACUACUU
RNAcentral lists this ribosomal RNA (484 nucleotides) under uncultured bacterium. RNAcentral describes it as "partial 16S ribosomal RNA". It matches the Rfam family "Bacterial small subunit ribosomal RNA", at positions 29 to 506 of the family's 1533-position model. The record is from RNAcentral.